RNAcentral lists this ribosomal RNA (253 nucleotides) under uncultured bacterium. RNAcentral describes it as "partial 16S ribosomal RNA". It matches the Rfam family "Bacterial small subunit ribosomal RNA", at positions 524 to 776 of the family's 1533-position model. The record is from RNAcentral.
UACGUAGGGGGCAAGCGUUGUUCGGAUUCAUUGGGCGUAAAGGGUGCGUAGGCGGCGCGGUAAGUCGGGUGUGAAAUCUCGGGGCUUAACUCCGAAACUGCAUUCAAUACUGCUUCGCUCGAGUACUGGAGAGGAGGCUGGAAUUUACGGUGUAGCAGUGAAAUGCGUAGAUAUCGUAAGGAAGGCCGGUGGCGAAAGCGAGCCUCUGGACAGUUACUGACGCUGAUGCACGAAGGCCAGGGGAGCAAACGGG